This 402-nucleotide long non-coding RNA is filed under the name Manihot esculenta (cassava). RNAcentral describes it as "long non-coding RNA (MESC_LNC008220)". Lineage: Eukaryota; Viridiplantae; Streptophyta; Magnoliopsida; Malpighiales; Euphorbiaceae. The record is from RNAcentral.
CAUGUCUAACCCUGAGGGGAAGGACGUUACGUGAACCCUCUAAAAUCACCCGCAAGAGGAAGAGAUUUGCUAGCAUGAACUCAAGCGGGAGUGAGAUGUUUGUUGUGAUAUAAUUGUGAUAUGACGCAUUUCAUGAAUGCAUGAAUAAGAAGAAUAAUUGAAUUGAAUAAAAUGUCUUUAUAAUAAAAUACAUAAAAAGGGUGGAACAAUAAAAUAGAUAAUAAUAAACCUAAAAAAAAAAGGAGGAACUAAAUCAAAUGUUUUUCUCUGUUUCUACUCACUGGGCUCUUGUAGCUCACCCCAUUCCCUUAACCCCAGUUUUGCAGGGCCAGAGUAAGUAAGCCAGAGUUCAGUCAGAGUAAGCUAUGGGGAAAGAAGAGGUUCAAGCAUGGGUUGCCAUGU